This 83-nucleotide transfer RNA is filed under the name Blastopirellula sediminis. RNAcentral's name for it is "tRNA-OTHER". Lineage: Bacteria; Pseudomonadati; Planctomycetota; Planctomycetia; Pirellulales; Pirellulaceae. The record is from RNAcentral.
GCCUUUGGUAGGUAUAGAGUUUACGUCAUCCCCCUCUCGGUUUCCUAAACCGCAGGUCGGAGGUUCGAUUCCUCCCGGGGGCA